GUGCAGCAGGCGAGAAACUUCACAAUGUGCGAAAGCACGAUGAGGGAAUCCCAAGUGCUUGCACGUAAGUGUAAGCUGUUUCUCUGUCUAAAACGCAGAGAGAGUAAGGGCUGGGUAAGACGGGUGCCAGCCGCCGCGGUAAUACCUGCAGCUCGAGUGGUGACCGUUAUUAUUGGGCCGUAAAACGUACCGUAGCCGGUUUAAUAAAU
Molecule: ribosomal RNA, 209 nt
Filed under: uncultured microorganism
Description: partial 16S ribosomal RNA
Rfam family: Archaeal small subunit ribosomal RNA
Source: RNAcentral